Molecule: ribosomal RNA, 2378 nt
Filed under: Triticum aestivum (bread wheat)
Lineage: Eukaryota; Viridiplantae; Streptophyta; Magnoliopsida; Poales; Poaceae
Description: partial small subunit ribosomal RNA
Source: RNAcentral
UACGAGGGGAGUAGUUUUCUUACCCAUGUCGGUUUUUUUGUACUCAGCGGACGGAUGGGCGAGCGGGCAGGGGUGCGGGGUUAGGGAAAAAACCGGGUUAGCUUUAACUGCCGCCGGCGGCGUGGCGAGCGGUGGCGGCGACUACGGUUGGAGGGCGUUCAGUGACAACAAAGGAGGAUACCGCGCGGCGAGGGCUGGUUAGGCCGCUCCGGACGCACGGUGGAGGGCUGAGAAGGGAAGGGACCAGACCUCGUGUUCGGAGGAAAGGGAGGUGGGGCUAGACCGUCAUCGCCGUCCUCGAUCCGGUGGCCGCUGCUCCGAUUAAACAGGCCGUCAUCGACAACAAUAAGGUGUUGGUUAAUAUGAAGAUGAGGUAGGGUACCUGACCGGACUGGCACCGACCAUCCUCCCUCCGCACGCCAGUACUGGGACCGCGCGACCCGGCCCCAGAUUGACCCGCCCGCACACAAUAGCGACGGUCCGUUGAUAUGCCCGCAGCGUCCCGCACAACGUCGAAGUCCUAAGACGAUCCUCGAGGACCCUACACGAGUACGUACGAACCAACCUUGGAACAGAAAAACCAGCUACCUACUUAGUUACCGCACAGUCCUGAUUGAUCCAGUAUGCACGUGGAGUGAUAGAUGCCUAUCGAGAGAGCAGCAUAGACGUGUUGUACUCUUGUUAAACUAGUUACUUCUACCCAAAGAAAGGAUGGCCACGGUAACAUACACGGACGUGCGGAGUUGAUAGAAGAAAGGACAAAUGACAGUCGUCCCCUUGAUAAACACCUACAUUAUACGUCGAUUUCCAUAAGGUCGUACUCGAACGUACGCGUUGUUGUCACUAAUUUCAUUUCCGAAGUCCUGAACUCCAUUUCAUGCGGGUAUCGAGUUGGACUAAGAGAAUCAUGUCUUGAUGUCUAUUGGACUAAGAGAGUCAUGUAUAUUGAAGUAAUAAUAGAAAGGUAGCUCGUUGUUACCUCAUCGUGAUGAGUGUUGGUUGACGUCUUUAGGGUACACGGUUUUUAGGGCACACGGUUUUUGGAGCAACGUUGACCUCUAGGCGUACGCGACGACCUGUACGAUACGAUGAGCUAAACUGGGUUAGAUGAAGUCGGCACUGAGGCACUAACUAAAAUCACCACGUGACCCUCCUCUGUUUGUUUCUCUCGUUUUCGUGUUAUUCUUUUCGCUACAAUACUCCUUUUGUCUUUCCUUUAUUUGUUUUUUUAACUAGGGGACUCAUACAUAUACUCUCUAUAUACAUGCAGACCCAACACGACGACUGAGUCCUCUUCAAGUCACUAGAUCCAGUUCCACUAAAUAUCAACUAUUUAAACCAUGGGUUUCGUGACUGUACUAGCCGCGUGACCGACAGGACUAACGGUAUCUUGUACACGUAAUUUCAAUGAGGUUAACGUCACGUGCUGAGAAACUCUUUUUGGUAUUCGUUAACUCAAGAAGUAGACAUCAGUACGGCUUAAUCACACUUUAUAUGUUUGAAAAAGUUAUAAUAAAACGUCGACAUGGUAACUAAUAAACAAUUACACGGAAAAACGUCACCUUUGUCAGAAACUUUGUUCGUCGUAUGCUAACGAUGUUGGGUUAAUGAGGGAGACAUUUGAUUAUAUUCUCGCAAAUCUAAUGAUUUUAUCACUGGAUUUGCGAGAAUAUAAUCAAAUGCCUCCCUCAUAGAAUCUAAGAUGGAAACAGACUACAAGAAUUGGAAAUAUAAGAAGGAUCUAAGAUGGAAACAGACUACAAGAAUUGGAAAUAUACGAAGGAAUGUCUCUUUAGGAACCUUGAACUCUUCGGUUCCAUACCACUCUCGUCUACUAAUAAUGAAGCGAAACCGGGUCGUAGCAGAAAUGCAUAGUUAUAAUCUCGCAACACAAUAAGGUAGUACAAUGUAAUGAUAACGUAAGUAUAAAAACACUCAUCGAUGGGGAAAGAUAUCAAAAUGGUAAAAAAAUAGGUACGUAAAAACUGCAUAAUUAAAAAACCCACUACGUGAUGUACAAUACAAUAAAGAUACGGAUUCACGAUGUAAUUUUUACAGCGUUCUAAACUACCAUACAUUAUAUUUAAUGGAAGCACUAUAAGUAAUAAUUAACAUACUUUAAUAUAUGUCCUUGUGUACGAUGAGUAAAGAUCGUUGCAGAUGAAACGAGGUAUCACUUCGUGCCCGCAACAGAGCCUGUAACGCCGGUGAUAGUUACUACCGUCCCUCUUCGUAUCCAACACUUUGUCCACCCUGCGGCACAACUUUUUCUCCUACAACUGGAAACUCUCCAGAAAUCUGUAUGAAUAAUCCUAUCCUUACACGUGAAUAAAGAGGGCAACGUUGCGUGCCCGUAAAAACGAUCAUAUACUAUCCUG